Molecule: ribosomal RNA, 433 nt
Filed under: uncultured bacterium
Lineage: Bacteria
Description: bacterial SSU rRNA
Rfam family: Bacterial small subunit ribosomal RNA
Source: RNAcentral
AGCGAAUAGAUACCCGGGUAGUCCAUGCUGUAAACGAUGGAUGCUAGCUGUGAUGCGUAUCGACCCGCGUCGUAGCGAAGCUAACGCGUUAAGCAUCCCGCCUGUGGAGUACGGCCGCAAGGCUAAAACAUAAAGGAAUUGACGGGGACCCGCACAAGCGGUGGAGCGUGUUGUUUAAUUCGAUGGUAAGCGAAGAACCUUACCCAGGUUUGACAUCCUUGGAAGUUCUGCGAAAGCAGAGUGUGCCUUCGGGAACCAAGUGACAGGUGAUGCAUGGCCGUCUUCAGCUCGUGUCGUGAGACGUUAGGUUAAGUCCUUCAACGAGCGCAACCCUUAUAGUUAGUUGUAUUUUCUAGCUAGACUGCCCUGGUAACAGGGAGGAAGGAGGGGACGAUGUCAGGUCAGUAUCUCCCUUAUAUCUGGGGCUACAAAC